UGUUCUAAACCCUAGCCUCUCCAUCCUUCCUCUUUCACCGCCGCUUCUCUUCGUGCCCUGAAACCUUCCUUCCCCUUUGUUGUUCUACUUCAUCAUCUUUCUAUUAUUCUCGGUGAACUAUGACAUCUUCUUCUUCAAAUCACUGACCUUUAUCUUCAAGUAACAACCAUUAUCUAAUCGAUUCACACAAAAACCCUAACCUCUUCAUUUAAAUCCAACUCUUUACCCUUCUAAUCGGCGGCUAUGUACAAUCUGUUCCGAAUCAAACUCCAAUUUCUUCAUGUCAAGGAAAAUCGUUUUUUUUUUCUCCGGAUAGUAUGACUUCGCUUCCAUGGGAUGAUCGGAAAUCGAAAUCGGUGGCUAGGAUGAAAAGAGCGAAGGGAAUUUGGCGAUUUCGAAGAACAGUUCACGGUAUCUCUUACAUCAACGGUCAGUAUCUCCGAUAUUUGCUCCUUUACCGCCCGAGUAGCCAACAUUAGUACUGCCCAAAGCAAGGGGCCAUGGACGACAAACUAGAAAAGGUUUGCAGUUGCACAAGUUUGUAUUGGAGGAGGAUGUACUAGCUCAUUGAACAUCAAUAGGGUAAUUUGCUUGUGAGUAGUAUUGUAGGGUUAUGUUGUGCUUAUCGAAGGUUUGAGCACAAGAAAAGUUCUCUUUGCAAUGAGCUCUUGCAGCUUCUCAAGUUCUCAGAGCAUUGUUAGCCACUAUGGGCUCAAUAUGCAUAAUUUAAAAAGGAUGAUGAUGAAUUUAUGCAAUUCUCAAGUGGGAAGCGUACACCAACUUUUUUAAGUAUUUAAGCUGUGCAAUGAAAAUACCUGGUCACUGAUGAGAGCUUUCUACCUUUCAUUGAACUUCUCUUACAGAUCUUUGUUGUGAUGAGCGUUUUUUGGCAGGUUCUGGGCAUGUUUUGGGUGGAGAUCUUGCUGGUUCACCAAGUCUGAAGUGGACAUUCGGAUUAACCUGGCAAUAGCAGCUGCAUUUAUUGCUUGGAUUUUUAUUGCGCACAAUGCUGAGUGGAAACUUGUGCAGUUUUUUUUAACAAGCAAUCGUUUGUAGUGUCUAUGAGUUAGAUUUACUUACCCAAGACAAUGCUUAUUAUGAUGUAAUUGUUAAUUAUACGAACUCAUUUAAUAUAUGAAUGCUUGCGCUCACGCUCGGUUCGGUUUGAGCUUUGUUUCCAAAGCUCGAGCUUGGCUCGGGCUCGGCACAUUUAUUAUUUCCAAA
Helianthus annuus (common sunflower) is the source of this 1224-nucleotide long non-coding RNA. RefSeq lists it as uncharacterized. The record is from RefSeq and is a predicted model, not a curated record. Lineage: Eukaryota; Viridiplantae; Streptophyta; Magnoliopsida; Asterales; Asteraceae. The transcript is spliced from 9 exons.